This 2517-nucleotide ribosomal RNA is filed under the name Salmonella enterica subsp. enterica serovar Braenderup. Its description in RNAcentral is "bacterial LSU rRNA". It matches the Rfam family "Bacterial large subunit ribosomal RNA". Lineage: Bacteria; Pseudomonadati; Pseudomonadota; Gammaproteobacteria; Enterobacterales; Enterobacteriaceae. The record is from RNAcentral.
UCGUCACACUAUCAUUAACUGAAUCCAUAGGUUAAUGAGGCGAACCGGGGGAACUGAAACAUCUAAGUACCCCGAGGAAAAGAAAUCAACCGAGAUUCCCCCAGUAGCGGCGAGCGAACGGGGAGGAGCCCAGAGCCUGAAUCAGCAUGUGUGUUAGUGGAAGCGUCUGGAAAGGCGCGCGAUACAGGGUGACAGCCCCGUACACAAAAGCGCAUGUGCUGUGAGCUCGAUGAGUAGGGCGGGACACGUGGUAUCCUGUCUGAAUAUGGGGGGACCAUCCUCCAAGGCUAAAUACUCCUGACUGACCGAUAGUGAACCAGUACCGUGAGGGAAAGGCGAAAAGAACCCCGGCGAGGGGAGUGAAAAAGAACCUGAAACCGUGUACGUACAAGCAGUGGGAGCNNGGGCGUUAAGUUGCAGGGUAUAGACCCGAAACCCGGUGAUCUAGCCAUGGGCAGGUUGAAGGUUGGGUAACACUAACUGGAGGACCGAACCGACUAAUGUUGAAAAAUUAGCGGAUGACCUGUGGCUGGGGGUGAAAGGCCAAUCAAACCGGGAGAUAGCUGGUUCUCCCCGAAAGCUAUUUAGGUAGCGCCUCGUGAAUUCAUCUCCGGGGGUAGAGCACUGUUUCGGCUAGGGGGCCAUCCCGGCUUACCAACCCGAUGCAAACUGCGAAUACCGGAGAAUGUUAUCACGGGAGACACACGGCGGGUGCUAACGUCCGUCGUGAAGAGGGAAACAACCCAGACCGCCAGCUAAGGUCCCAAAGUCAUGGUUAAGUGGGAAACGAUGUGGGAAGGCCCAGACAGCCAGGAUGUUGGCUUAGAAGCAGCCAUCAUUUAAAGAAAGCGUAAUAGCUCACUGGUCGAGUCGGCCUGCGCGGAAGAUGUAACGGGGCUAAACCAUGCACCGAAGCUGCGGCAGCGANNGAAGGUGGCCUGUGAGGGUUGCUGGAGGUAUCAGAAGUGCGAAUGCUGACAUAAGUAACGAUAAAGCGGGUGAAAAGCCCGCUCGCCGGAAGACCAAGGGUUCCUGUCCAACGUUAAUCGGGGCAGGGUGAGUCGACCCCUAAGGCGAGGCCGAAAGGCGUAGUCGAUGGGAAACGGGUUAAUAUUCCCGUACUUGGUGUUACUGCGAAGGGGGGACGGAGAAGGCUAUGUUGGCCGGGCGACGGUUGUCCCGGUUUAAGCGUGUAGGUGUGUGUUCCAGGUAAAUCCGGUUCACUUUAACACUGAGGCGUGACGACGAGGCACUACGGUGCUGAAGCAACAAAUGCCCUGCUUCCAGGAAAAGCCUCUAAGCAUCAGGUAACAUCAAAUCGUACCCCAAACCGACACAGGUGGUCAGGUAGAGAAUACCAAGGCGCUUGAGAGAACUCGGGUGAAGGAACUAGGCAAAAUGGUGCCGUAACUUCGGGAGAAGGCACGCUGACACGUAGGUGAAGUGAUUUACUCAUGGAGCUGAAGUCAGUCGAAGAUACCAGCUGGCUGCAACUGUUUAUUAAAAACACAGCACUGUGCAAACACGAAAGUGGACGUAUACGGUGUGACGCCUGCCCGGUGCCGGAAGGUUAAUUGAUGGGGUCAGCGCAAGCGAAGCUCCUGAUCGAAGCCCCGGUAAACGGCGGCCGUAACUAUAACGGUCCUAAGGUAGCGAAAUUCCUUGUCGGGUAAGUUCCGACCUGCACGAAUGGCGUAAUGAUGGCCAGGCUGUCUCCACCCGAGACUCAGUGAAAUUGAACUCGCUGUGAAGAUGCAGUGUACCCGCGGCAAGACGGAAAGACCCCGUGAACCUUUACUAUAGCUUGACACUGAACAUUGAGCCUUGAUGUGUAGGAUAGGUGGGAGGCUUUGAAGUGUGGACGCCAGUCUGCAUGGAGCCGACCUUGAAAUACCACCCUUUAAUGUUUGAUGUUCUAACGUGGACCCGUGAUCCGGGUUGCGGACAGUGUCUGGUGGGUAGUUUGACUGGGGCGGUCUCCUCCUAAAGAGUAACGGAGGAGCACGAAGGUUGGCUAAUCCUGGUCGGACAUCAGGAGGUUAGUGCAAUGGCAUAAGCCAGCUUGACUGCGAGCGUGACGGCGCGAGCAGGUGCGAAAGCAGGUCAUAGUGAUCCGGUGGUUCUGAAUGGAAGGGCCAUCGCUCAACGGAUAAAAGGUACUCCGGGGAUAACAGGCUGAUACCGCCCAAGAGUUCAUAUCGACGGCGGUGUUUGGCACCUCGAUGUCGGCUCAUCACAUCCUGGGGCUGAAGUAGGUCCCAAGGGUAUGGCUGUUCGCCAUUUAAAGUGGUACGCGAGCUGGGUUUAGAACGUCGUGAGACAGUUCGGUCCCUAUCUGCCGUGGGCGCUGGAGAACUGAGGGGGGCUGCUCCUAGUACGAGAGGACCGGAGUGGACGCAUCACUGGUGUUCGGGUUGUCAUGCCAAUGGCACUGCCCGGUAGCUAAAUGCGGAAGAGAUAAGUGCUGAAAGCAUCUAAGCACGAAACUUGCCCCGAGAUGAGUUCUCCCUGAGACUU